UGUUGGCUGCACAGGGCACAAGCUUGUAUGUGAACAGUUGAACUGUUUUAGCAUUGUAUUGUGUGCAUAGACGUUUGCAUAGAUAUCGGCGCAAACAGAUUGUAGCGUGGGGCUGGCUGGCCGUAAAUUACGACUUACGUGUCUGUAAAGUCUACCGCCAGCUUAACACAAUGUAUCAGAUUUUUUUGUUGUAUGAUAGUUCAUUCAUUUCGGACAUUGGCAUUUAAUUUCGUUCUGUUUUCACAUGGCAGCCUAUCCAAGAUCACGAUCCGGUUAUGAAUUGUGAUCUUAUGGAUGGGAGAGAUGCAUAUUUUUAACAAUGGCAGGUGAAUGCCAUUAGGAAUUUUCAUAGUGGAGAACAGCAAAGUUCUCCACAAUGUCAAUGCGUAAUGAACUUCAUAACCAAGCUCAAGCUGCAUUUGGAUGUACUUGCAGUAACUGUAAGGAUUAUGUAGAAACACGUUACCACUGCAAUGUUUGUGAUGAUUUUGACCUGUGUGUUCAGUGCUAUGAGAAAAAUGGACAUCCUCAUAGCAUGGAGAAACGCGGUAUGGAUGAUGACAUCUCGUAUUCAAAUUUGAAGAAAGCCUAUCCUCAGGAGGUGCGGAAACUUUCUAUAAAACGUUGCAUGCAGAAAUUAGUACAUGCGUGCCAGUGCCAUAAUGUCAACUGUUGCCAGCCCGGCUGUCAGAAGAUGAAACGAGUUGUACGGCAUACAAAAGUAUGUAAAAGUAAGACAAAAGGUGGCUGCAGUAUAUGCAAACAGCUUGUUGCAGCUUGCUGUUACCAUUCAAUGCAUUGCCAGGAACCAAAAUGUUCAGUGCCAUUCUGUCCCAACAUCAAACAUACGCUGAAGCAGCAUAAAAUUCAGCAGGUAGAUCAACUACAAAGGCGAAUGGCAGCAAUGAACAUCAGGACAACAGUACCUAUUGGUCUACUACCAGGCAGUUCAGGGGUGCUGGGUGUUGGUGGUGCAGGUUCAGCAGUUACUCCAGUGGGUGAUUUUACACCAGCAACAUCAGGUGCUGGCAUUUUGGUUGGUUUGCAGCCUUCACAUCGACCAGACAUUAGUGGUUUGAAGCCUGAUGCACAGACUCCCAGUGCACAUUGUGAAAUAGGAGAUGUUGCAGUAAGGGCGGCCCAUCCAGCAGCAGACAUGAGGGGACAGUACCAGCUAUGGUCCUCUUUGCUGCCACUGUCAAUCAUCAGCCCACGAUUAGCAGACAUUGCGGCAGACUCGCUCGCCGCCAAUGCUGACCACAUCAGUGAGCCAUCGCCGAGAUUGUGCGGGGCCUAGGCCCUGUGCAUCCGCUGUCACAACCGGGUGAGCCGGCGACACUGGGGGACUGCAGCCCGUUCCGCCCGUCCACCGCGGACAAGCCACCAGGAGGAGCAGGGAAGAAGAUGGGGUGGGAUAGAGUACACUCUGCACUACGAGAAUGCCUUUCGUGCCGACAGCGCCGGGACUCCAACCCGUAGCCUCCUGCGCACAGCGGCCUAAUGUCCACUGCCGAGCCGGCCGGCCAGCUGGCGCCGCCACCCACGCGCAGUCGAAGUACGAAGUAAGGAGACAUUCCUUCGCUACGUCACAGCACGUGGCGCUGCGCUAGCAAGACUGGUGUGGCCCGGAGCUGGUGUCAUCGCUACGAGUCAGCGAGGACUCGGGGAAGGGCGUUCAUAUCACCAAGCUCAGCCAGCCUGUGUUAUGCAGGCCACAUUGUACUCGGCAGGAAUAAAGGUGUUAUGAAUUAAUAAUGUUUCUUUGGCGUUUCUGAUGCGUCCACAGUCAUUUCCUAGCAUCCUGACAACUGGAGAGGUCACCGCUCAGCCUCCAGUCCAUCGUAAGUGACCGGGACCACCUAUAGAUUUGGUGUCAGAAGUCCUCACGCCGCCUACGGAUUUGGUGUUCGAACCGCCCACUACAGCACUGGCCUGCAGAUCUGGUAUCUGGAGUCGUCGACACCGCCACUGCAGGACUGAUACUACAGAGUUGGGGUCAGAACUCUCGACUCUACGCAGCCUUGUGAAAACCAGAGCAUUCAUAAAGAAAACUGGAAGCAUACAAAUUUGGAGCUCUGCGAGCAAAGUGGUGAACAUCAUUAGGAAAACAACUUUGCGAUCUUGUGAUAAUGUCAUGGAAAACAACACAAAUGGAACCAUUUCCUCGAAAGCUGGGGCAUGCAGUUGAUUAUGGAACAAGAUAUGCAGAUCGAGGAUUGAGGCAGUUGUUAAAGUCACACCUCAGGUACCCCAAUUGGCUGCUCUUGGUGUAGAAGGGCACUAGGAAUUCACAGUGCUCUUGAUGUGACAACACAUUGUGCAGCUAGGGGCCUGGAUACAGGUUACAAAAGUAGACCCUCCAGCAACUACUGCAAAAAAGUCACCAAACACUCCAUAACAACAGCAACAGGUCCUCCAGAUUCUCAAAAGCAAUCUAAUGCUGGUGGCAGCAUUUAUUAAACAGCAGCAGGCAUCCCAAAACCUGCCGUAGCAACAAGUUGCUGUGGCACAAGCUGCAGCUGCUCAGCAGCAGGUAGCAGUUACUGGGGCAAAUACUGGUGUUCUCUCAACAGGAGAGCAACAGCAGCUAAUAUUCAGCCGCUGCAGCAGCAGCUAAAUUUCACCAGCAGCAGCAGGUAGCAGCUGCAAGUAGAUAGCAGUGGAUGCGAGCCAUGAUUCUGUUUCAAAUGACGCUGGCCACACUACAUCAUUGAUACAAGCAAGAGCAGCAGCAGCAGCAGCCGUAGUUAUUGGCCCUGCAGAGACAUUAGUCAUUUUUUCAACCUUCAUCUCUUGAUAAUGGACAACAGCAGUGGAGACUUUGGUAGCAGCAUUUGGCUGGUGCUUAUGCAUGUGCCUGUUUUCCCACAGUUCCUGAACAACAUCCGGCAAAGUAUCAGCAGCAGCAGCAUCCUCCUCUGAAACACACACUUCCACCUGCUCCAUCACCAUAGGGUGUUAUGGGCCCACCAGGUGGAGCUCCGAAGUUGAUGCAGGCUGUGGAAUCCUCUCUCCACUGAUUACUUCCCGCCACUCAAAACCUAGGCUGCAGUCAGCGCCAUCACCUUGAAAUCAUCCAGUGCCAUCUCCUCAUUGUGCCCCCCCCCCCCCCCCCCCAUACACACCAGCAUCAUUCACAGUCAACACUCGCCAGUUCAUGAACUAAUGGGGGGAGAAACAAUGCUUACACAUAGACAUGGACCUGUCUCGCACCACCCUUCCUGGUGCAAAUGCUCAAGAUCCAAGUGACUCAAUGAAGUACUGCCAACGACUCUUCAGGAAAAGCUUAAUAAGUUUGUGGAACCAUCAUAAUAAUACCAAUGCCAUAAGAUGUAUGUAAAUUUUGUUGUGUCCGUUUUUCAUAUGAUAAAAACAACAUGUACUUUCAUGAAAGUUUGCAAGUACAUGGCAAGCUUUUUGACAGGUGGGAAAUGUGUCAAAUCCCAGUUGCACAGGAAAUGUGAAGUGUGUAGUGAGAAGUAUUCAUAUGUACAGCUCCCAUGUGGUGCAUUGUAUUAGUGUAUAAAGAUAGAGAACUACCAACUGCAUCCUAAUAUCUACUGUGUCCUGUAUGUAGUGUCUGUGUAUAAAUAAAAAUGUGCAAUAUGUGGUA
Molecule: RNA transcript, 3613 nt
Organism: Schistocerca nitens (vagrant locust)
Lineage: Eukaryota; Metazoa; Arthropoda; Insecta; Orthoptera; Acrididae
Gene name: histone lysine acetyltransferase CREBBP-like
Exons: 7
Source: RefSeq, a predicted model, not a curated record